GGUUUGAAUGUGAAUGUGGUAUAAACUCUUGGGCAUUGCUAUCUAAAAUUGAAGAAGUGGCGGUGGCGACGGGUUUCAAGAACUUUUUAUAUUUUCUAAUUUUACUUUCUUUCUCUAAAUAGUUCUCAUCUGGUUCUAUAAUGUCAUCAGUAAUUCCCUCCGAGUCCACUGAAUUUAAAAUCUGUUCGUCGAUAUUGGCUAAAGUUUUCUUUUUCUUUUCAACUGCUUCCAAUAAUGUAC
Molecule: long non-coding RNA, 240 nt
Filed under: Mytilus galloprovincialis (Mediterranean mussel)
Lineage: Eukaryota; Metazoa; Mollusca; Bivalvia; Mytilida; Mytilidae
Source: RNAcentral